AUGAGGUCCCCCAUUCAGUUAUUGGGGCUGCUGAUGCUCUGCAUUCCUGGUUCCAGUGAUGAUGCCAUGCUGACCCAGACUCCAUUCUCCCUGCUGGUCCUCCUUGGAGAUGACUCCUCUACCUCUUGUAGUUCUAGUGAGAGUCUCCUAGAUAGUGAAGGGGCUACCUGUUUGAACUGGUACCUGCAGAGACCUGGCCAGUCUCCCCAGCUCCUUAUCUAUGGGGUCUAUAUCCAGGAAUAUGGGAUCUCAGACAGGUUCAUUGGCAGUGGAUCUGGGACAGAUGUCACACUGAAAAUCAGCAGUGUGGAGGCUGAGGAUGUUGGAAAGUAUUACUGUUCCCAAACUACACAUGUUCCUCCCACAGUAACACAUACUCUAACAAAAACCUCUUUGCUUGGCAUGGCCUAG
This is a non-coding RNA of Onychomys torridus (southern grasshopper mouse), 411 nucleotides long. Lineage: Eukaryota; Metazoa; Chordata; Mammalia; Rodentia; Cricetidae. The record is from the annotation of a RefSeq genome assembly.